AGUAGCCGAUACCAACACGAUAACAAGUACAUCUACCCCAAAGCCAACACCAAUAAGAAAUUCAUCAAAAGAAGUCAUGUCAAUAACUUCUACGCCCAAAGCGAGCUCAACAUCAGUAACAACAACGACCAAUGGAACAAAACAACCAUCAACGUCUAAAAAUGUUGCAUCAACCAGUAUACCAGGUAUGCUUAUCCUACAAUGCAUGACGUCAUACUUAGUAGCUGUUGCCGUCAAUCGAUAGAAUACAAGGAAAUAGAAACAUUUAAGUAGUGUAUUUUGGCAGCUGCAUUUAAUUAAAUCUUUCUUUUUAUUAACUGAAUGACAAAGACAAUGCUAUUACAAUAUCAAGUGUUUUAUAUUAUUUUUGUACAAAAGGAUAGUAAUUUGCUUUGGUUAAUCGUCUGAAUAUUAAUCAGUCAAUACAUUGGUUGUUUAUAUAAAUAAUUUCAAACAUUAAAAAUUGCUUAAUGUUCAUUAGUAAGCAUUUUAAAUAGGUCGAACGGAUGCAUACAUACAAGUAAUUUGUAACCGAGUACUUUAAUCAAUUAGCCUGGUCGCCCAUUUUUCUAGAAAAUUUAGCUGAUUUGCAGAAUUUAAUGCUAUGAGACAGAAUAAGUUGAUAUUUUAGCAAAAACAAAACAAAAACAAACCCCAAAAAUGUCAUUUCUUCAUUAGUUUUAACUGUUUAAAUAUUAGUUUGUUUAGAUGUUUGUUUGUUUGUCUAUCAAUCUAAUGACAGUAUAUAUUUUUGUUUACAUUUUUAGUAAGAAUUUCAUUCAUUAUGAAAAGUAUUUCUUUUUGGAUUAUCUGUCGAUGUUAUUUUUAUGUCCUGUUUGCAAAAUGAUAAUAAAUUAUAUGAUUUGUAAAUUGUA
Molecule: long non-coding RNA, 875 nt
Organism: Ruditapes philippinarum (Manila clam)
Lineage: Eukaryota; Metazoa; Mollusca; Bivalvia; Venerida; Veneridae
Exons: 3
Source: RefSeq, a predicted model, not a curated record